GAUGAACGCUGGCGGCGUGCCUAAUACAUGCAAGUCGAGCGAACAGACGAGGAGCUUGCUCCUCUGACGUUAGCGGCGGACGGGUGAGUAACACGUGGAUAACCUACCUAUAAGACUGGGAUAACUUCGGGAAACCGGAGCUAAUACCGGAUAAUAUAUUGAACCGCAUGGUUCAAUAGUGAAAGACGGUUUUGCUGUCACUUAUAGAUGGAUCCGCGCCGCAUUAGCUAGUUGGUAAGGUAACGGCUUACCAAGGCAACGAUGCGUAGCCGACCUGAGAGGGUGAUCGGCCACACUGGAACUGAGACACGGUCCAGACUCCUACGGGAGGCAGCAGUAGGGAAUCUUCCGCAGUGGGCGGAAGCCUGAUGCAGCAACGCCGCGUGCGGGAUGACGGCCUUCGGGUUGUAAACCGCUUUCGCCUGUGACGAAGCGUGAGUGACGGUAAUGGGUAAAGAAGCACCGGCUAACUACGUG
RNAcentral lists this ribosomal RNA (477 nucleotides) under uncultured bacterium. Its description in RNAcentral is "partial 16S ribosomal RNA". It matches the Rfam family "Bacterial small subunit ribosomal RNA", at positions 28 to 507 of the family's 1533-position model. The record is from RNAcentral.